RNAcentral lists this long non-coding RNA (461 nucleotides) under Oryza brachyantha (malo sina). Its description in RNAcentral is "long non-coding RNA (OBRA_LNC003102)". Lineage: Eukaryota; Viridiplantae; Streptophyta; Magnoliopsida; Poales; Poaceae. The record is from RNAcentral.
CGUUGCGUGGCACGGCAGGCAAGGCGCUGCUGCUGUCCAGUGCGCGCGCCCGCGGGAGGUUUCACGUGCCGCGCGCCACGUGUUGCGGCGAGACCAAUCAUAGCCCGCCUCCCCUGGGUGACACGUGGGCCACUCCCGACACGCGUCCGUUCGCACCCGCUUGCCCCCUCCGCUGUAUUAAAUGCCCCGCCCCCGCACGCUCGCCGGCGUCGCGUUCCACUUGGGGGGGCUCGCGGGGAAAGGACUCUGGUCGUCGGACGUUCGGGUUCUCGUCGAAGGAGAGGUGAGGUGAGGUGUUAGGUUGGGUGGGGUGGUUGAUGGAGAGGAAGGGAGGGUGCUGCUUGGCGCCGAGGUACGCGGGGCAGGCGGCCAUGGCGGGGCAGAUGGGGAAGAUCAUGCUCAAGUUCCGGCCGAUUGCGCCCAAGCCGGCGGCGAUGUCGCCUGCGCCCGCGCCCGCCCCG